UUUAUUUGGCUACGUGCCUGUUACUGGGUAUAGCCUAUAUUUUUAGUUUAUUCCCAAAUGCCCACAAUAUUAGAAUUACCACUUCUUGUGUGUGCAUCCACAGCAUAUCUUAUCUGUUAUUAUGCUGAGAGUGGGGUAGAUUAAAGCAAAGCAAAAUUCUAGACUGAAAACAGUGUCAAUUGAGUGCUUGAGCCAUGUUUUUUCGUUCUCUUAUGGUAGAGAAGUUUAGGAUGAGCAUUAUUUCUCAGAAGAGUUAUUUCUUUAUCUAGGAGAAGAAAUACCACUUGCAGGAGAGGGUUGACAAAGUAAAGAAGAAAGUGAAAGAUGUGGAGGAAAAGUCAAAAGAAUUUGUUCAGAAGGUGGAGGAAAAAAGCAUUGACCUCAUUCAGAAGUGGGAGGAGAAGUCCCGAGAAUUCAUUGGAAGUUUUCUGGAAAUGUUUGGUCCGGAAGGAGCACUGAAACAUAUGCUGAAAGAGGGGAAGGGCCGGAUGCUGCAGGCCAUCAGCCCGAAGCAGAGCCCCAGCAGCAGCCCUACUCGCGAGCGCUCCCCCUCCCCCUCUUU
This 562-nucleotide long non-coding RNA is filed under the name Homo sapiens (human). Its description in RNAcentral is "non-protein coding lnc-ZDHHC19-2:1". The record is from RNAcentral. Lineage: Eukaryota; Metazoa; Chordata; Mammalia; Primates; Hominidae.